GGGGGGGGGGCGCUACGCGGCCGACGCGCAUGCGCGUGCGGGACCCGGAUUGCGCCCCCCGGGCGGAGCUGAGGGGAUGGCAGAGGAGGGGGCGGCGGGACGGGACGGAGUGGGAUGGGGGCAUGGAUGGGGGGUCGGGAUGGGGUAUGGGUGGGUAUGGGGUGGUGUGCUGUAGGUUGGGGUAUGGGGUGAGGGUGGGAGGGGGAUGGGAUGGGGAUGAUUCAGGUUUGGGAUGCGUAUGGGAUGGGUAUGGGAUUGAUAUGGGAUGGGUAUGGUGUAGGUAUGAUAUAGGUAUGGAAUGGGUAUGGUAUAGGUUUGGGAUGAGUACGGUAUGGGUAUAGGAGGGGUAUGGGAUGGGUACGGUAUGGGUACGGUAUGGGUACGGUAUGGGUACGGUAUGGGUAUGGGAUGGGUAUGGGAUGGGUAUGGGAUGCAUACGGUAUAGGUUUGGGAUGGGUAUGGUAUAGAUAUAGCAUGGGUACGGUAUAGGCAUGGUGUGGGUACGGUAUAGACAUGGGGUGGGUAUGGGAUGAGUAUGGGAUGGGAAUGGUAUAGGUUUGGGAUGAAUAUGAUAUAGGCAUGGGAAGGGUAUGGUAUAGGUUUGGGAUGGGUAUUGGUUGGGUGUGGGAUGGGAAUGGGAUGGAUAUGGGAUGGGAAUGGUAUAGGUUUGGGAUUGGUAUGGUAUAGGCAUGGUGUGGGUAUGGGAUCGAUAUGGAAUGGGUAUGGUAUAGGUAUGGGAUGGUUAUGGGAUGGAUAUAUUAUAGUUAUGGGAUGGGUAUAGGAUGCGUAUGGUAUAGGUAUAUAAUGGCUGUGGUAUAGGUAUGGUAUAGGUAAGGGCAUGGCAUGAGUACAGUAUGGGGGGGGCACGGUGUAGGUUGGGGAAUGGAAUAGGUAAUGUAUGGGAUGGGUAUGGUGUAGGUAUGGGAUGGGUAUGGUGUAGGUAUGGGUAUGGGAUGGGUAUGGUGUAGGUAUGGGGAUGGGAUGGGUAUGGUGUAGGGAUGGGAUGGGAUGGGUAUGGUGAUGGGAUGGGUAUGGUGUAGGUAUGGGUACGGGGUGGGUAUGAUGUAGGUAUAGGAUGGGAUGGGUAUGGUGUAGGUAUGGGUACGGGGUGGUGUAGGAAUGGUGAGGUGGGGGCAUGGUGAGGGUGGGGGGGUCACAGCACAGGGUGGGCACUGCAAUGGCGCAGGUCCGGGAUUUGAUGCCGAACUGCUGUCGGCUCCUCAGUGCGGUGGGGGGGGGACUUCAGCUCAUCCCAGCGCGGCGUUCCGUCCCUCCUUCACCGCCAUCCGCGCUGUUGUGCACCGCUCCGAAAAGCCCCCACCGAACCGGGGGGUGGGGGGGGGGUUCAGGAUGGCCCACCCUCCACGACUCCUCCAUCACUUUCUGCAUCUGCGCCCCCCCCCGACAGCCACGGCUGCAGGGAUGGUGUCACAGCUCUGACAUCAGAGCCAAACCGUGACGUCACUCCCCAUCCCGUGACCACCCCCCACCCCCCCCAUCCCGG
This 1504-nucleotide long non-coding RNA is filed under the name Gallus gallus (chicken). RNAcentral describes it as "lncRNA (ENSGALG00010025906.1)". Lineage: Eukaryota; Metazoa; Chordata; Aves; Galliformes; Phasianidae. The record is from RNAcentral.